RNAcentral lists this ribosomal RNA (253 nucleotides) under uncultured bacterium. RNAcentral's name for it is "partial 16S ribosomal RNA". It matches the Rfam family "Bacterial small subunit ribosomal RNA", at positions 524 to 776 of the family's 1533-position model. The record is from RNAcentral.
UACGUAGGUGGCAAGCGUUGUCCGGAUUUACUGGGCGUAAAGAGCGCGCAGGCGGUCGUUCAAGUCGCGUGUGAAAUCCCUCGGCUCAACUGAGGAACUGCCUUUGAAACUGCCUGGCUUGAGGCCGGGAGGGGGUAGCGGAAUUCCCAGUGUAGCGGUGAAAUGCGUAGAUAUUGGGAGGAACACCAGUGGCGAAGGCGGCUACCUGGACCGGUUCUGACGCUGAUGCGCGAAAGCGUGGGUAGCAAACAGG